RNAcentral lists this ribosomal RNA (466 nucleotides) under uncultured bacterium. RNAcentral describes it as "partial 16S ribosomal RNA". It matches the Rfam family "Bacterial small subunit ribosomal RNA", at positions 28 to 507 of the family's 1533-position model. The record is from RNAcentral.
GAUGAACGCUGGCGGCGUGCUUAACACAUGCAAGUCGAACGAUGAAGCCCAGCUUUCUGGGUGGGUUCGUGUCGAACGGGUGAGUAACACGUGAGUGACCUCCCCUUAACUCUGGGAUAAGCCUUGGGAACUCUGGCUAAUAUCGGGGAUGGGCGUUCCUCGCGUGUGGGGUGUGGGAAAGAGUUAUCGGUUUUGGAUGGACUCGCGGCCUAUCAGCUUGUUGGUGAGGUAAUGGCUCACCAAGGCGACGACGGGUAGCCGGCCUGAGAGGGUGACCGGCCACACUGGGACUGAGACACGGCCCAGACUCCUACGGGAGGCAGCAGUGGGGAAUAUUGCACAAUGGGCGGAAGCCUGAUGCAGCGACGCCGCGUGCGGGAUGACGGCCUUCGGGUUGUAAACCUCUUUCAGCAGGGAAGAAGCGAAAGUGACGGUAACUGCAGAAGAAGCACCGGCUAACUACGUG